GACGAACGCUGGCGGCGUGCUUAACACAUGCAAGUCGAACGGGAUGAUCUUAAAGCUUGCUUUUAGAGAAUCUAGUGGCAAACGGGUGAGUAACACGUAGACAACCUGCCGACAGGAUGGGGACAACAUUCCGAAAGGAAUGCUAAUACCGAAUGAAGCGGAGGAGAGGCAUCUCUCCUUCGUGAAAGAUGGCCUCUAUUUAUAAGCUAUCACCUGUUGAUGGGUCUGCGUCUGAUUAGCUAGUUGGUGAGGUAACGGCUCACCAAGGCGACGAUCAGUAGCCGGUCUGAGAGGAUGAACGGCCACAUUGGGACUGAGACACGGCCCAGACUCCUACGGGAGGCAGCAGUGGGGAAUCUUCCGCAAUGGGCGCAAGCCUGACGGAGCAACGCCGCGUGAGUGAAGAAGGUCUUCGGAUCGUAAAGCUCUGUUGACGGGGACGAACGUGCGGAGUGCGAAUAGCGCUUUGUAAUGA
This 475-nucleotide ribosomal RNA is filed under the name Selenomonas sp. oral taxon F19. RNAcentral's name for it is "bacterial SSU rRNA". It matches the Rfam family "Bacterial small subunit ribosomal RNA", at positions 28 to 477 of the family's 1533-position model. Lineage: Bacteria; Bacillati; Bacillota; Negativicutes; Selenomonadales; Selenomonadaceae. The record is from RNAcentral.